AACGUAGGGGACAAGCGUUAUCCGGAUUUACUGGGCGUAAAGCGCCCGUAGGCGGCUUGAUAAGUUGGACGUGAAAGCUCCCGGCUUAACUGGGAGAGGCCGUUCAAAACUGACAGGCUAGAGUGAGGAAGAGGAGAGCGGAAUUCCCGGUGUAGUGGUGGAAUGCGUAGAUAUCGGGAGGAACACCAGUGGCGAAGGCGGCUUCCUGGCCUGUUCUUGACGCUGAGGCGCGAAAGCUAGGGGAGCAAACGGG
This 253-nucleotide ribosomal RNA is filed under the name uncultured bacterium. RNAcentral's name for it is "partial 16S ribosomal RNA". It matches the Rfam family "Bacterial small subunit ribosomal RNA", at positions 524 to 776 of the family's 1533-position model. The record is from RNAcentral.